Eubalaena glacialis (North Atlantic right whale) is the source of this 1191-nucleotide long non-coding RNA. RefSeq lists it as uncharacterized. Lineage: Eukaryota; Metazoa; Chordata; Mammalia; Artiodactyla; Balaenidae. The record is from RefSeq and is a predicted model, not a curated record. The transcript is spliced from 8 exons.
GCUUGGCUUUUCUCUUUGUGGUUUUGAGAGUUAGCUUCUCGUGAACCGUUUGUCAAUAUGUGUGACGCACACGAGGUGCUUUGUAUUUACAAAAGAAAAAUAAUGAAGGAAAAGUCUGAAGCUAAUCAGCUGGAGACACAGAGCAAAGAUAUGCAGUAUGAUGAGGAGGAGGAUGAAAUCCCCCAGAUUUGUGGCAAGAGGCAUGCUUGAUUGUAAUCAGCCAAGACAUUUGCUGAAGUUUGAACAACUUUACCUCUCCAAGCCCAUAAGAGAUUGUGCUGCUUCACCAGUGUUGCCACGUGAAGCCAGAUUAAGAAAUCUCAUAAACAGUCAUUAAAGAAGGUGAAGAACAACUUCAGAUGCAGCAUCAGAAAACUUUUAUUGGUAAAGUUCCAGUUAUGUUGCAUUCAAUUUACUGUCUACUAAAUGGCUUAGCAGAUCAUGAUCUUUGUGAGUUAAAUGGAUGCCUCUUGGAUCCUGAUGGCUACUUCAUUAUUAAUGGAUCAGAAAAGGUUCUGAUUGCUCAAGAGAAAAUGGCAACAAACACAACCUUUGUGUUUGCCAAAAAGGAUUCUAAAUAUGCCUACACAGGAGAGUGUAGAUCAUGUCUGGAGAAUUCUUCUGACCCACUAUCUGGGUUAGCAUGCUGGCAAGAGGAGGACAGCUUUCUGCCAUGUUCCAAAACACUGGGAAGAGCAGACAUUUCAGGCCCCAGACAAGAUGCUCUGUAUCUCUGCAGCUGUGAAGAUGACAGGCGAUAUCAAAAGAUCAAGGGACUUUGCUGCGCUCACUGAGGUGUGCCUCAACAAGGAAGCGCUGUAGCCCUGAUAACUUGGGCAGGUAACUUACAACUCUAAGGAAAAUCGACCUUAGGUGAAGCUAAGGACAAUGGAGUGGAGGAGUGGAAAGAGCCCGAGUUCUUGAGGACGUCAUUGAGAAGCUGAUCAACACUGUUACUGGAGCCCAUCCUAAUUCUGGACUUAUACUACAGUGACACAGUGAGAGGAAGCUGUACAAUCAGCCUUUUACACUGGUGCAUUAAAAAAAAAAAAAAAGCUGAGUGGUAAAUUUAAUGUGGCAUAGACAUUUCGGUCACCAGCCAGCACUGGAAAGCAGUGGAAUCAAAUACUGCAUGUGAAAGCCUGGUGCGCAGGGCUUGGGCCAUCAGAGCUGCUUCACUGUUCACUCAGC